Molecule: transfer RNA, 85 nt
Filed under: Felis catus (domestic cat)
Lineage: Eukaryota; Metazoa; Chordata; Mammalia; Carnivora; Felidae
Also listed under: 2 other names
Rfam family: tRNA
About the family: Transfer RNA (tRNA) molecules are approximately 80 nucleotides in length. Their secondary structure includes four short double-helical elements and three loops (D, anti-codon, and T loops).
Source: Rfam by way of RNAcentral
GCCUGGGUGGCUCAGUCGGUUAAGCAUCUGAUUUUGGCUCAGGUCAUGAUCUCACGGUUCGUGAGUUCGAGCCCCACAUUGGGCU